Molecule: ribosomal RNA, 398 nt
Filed under: Chlorella sorokiniana
Lineage: Eukaryota; Viridiplantae; Chlorophyta; Trebouxiophyceae; Chlorellales; Chlorellaceae
Description: bacterial SSU rRNA
Rfam family: Bacterial small subunit ribosomal RNA
Source: RNAcentral
UGGGGGAAUUUUUCGCAAUGGGCGAAACCCUGACGGAGCAAUGCCGCGUGAAGGAUGAAGGCCUAUGGGUUGUAAACUUCUUUUUUUAGAGAAGAAUAUUGACGGUAUCUGAGGAAUAAGCAUCGGCUAACUCUGUGCCAGCAGCCGCGGUAAGACAGAGGAUGCAAGCGUUAUCCGGAAUGAUUGGGCGUAAAGCGUCUGUAGGUGGCUUCAAAAGUCUCCUGUCAAAGAUCAGGGCUUAACCCUGGGCCGGCAGGAGAAACUCUGAGGCUAGAGUUGGUAGGGGCAGAGGGAAUUCCCGGUGGAGCGGUGAAAUGCGUAGAGAUCGGGAGGAACACCAAAGGCGAAAGCACUCUGCUGGGCCACAACUGACACUAGAGACGAAAGCGAGAUUCCCC